AGAGUUUGAUCCUGGCUCAGGACGAACGCUGGCGGCGUGCCUAAUACAUGCAAGUCGAGCGGAUUUAUCCUUCGGGAUAAGUUAGCGGCGGACGGGUGAGUAACACGUAGGCAACCUGCCUAUAAGACUGGGAUAACUAUCGGAAACGAUAGCUAGGACCGGAUAACUGAUUUUCUCGCAUGAGAAAAUUAUGAAACACGGAGCAAUCUGUGGCUUAUAGAUGGGCCUGCGGCGCAUUAGCUAGUUGGUAGGGUAACGGCCUACCAAGGCGACGAUGCGUAGCCGACCUGAGAGGGUGAACGGCCACACUGGGACUGAGACACGGCCCAGACUCCUACGGGAGGCAGCAGUAGGGAAUCUUCCGCAAUGGACGCAAGUCUGGCGGAGCAACGCCGCGUGAGUGAUGAAGGUUCUCGGAUCGAAAAGCUCUGUUGCCCUAGACGAACAGCAAGAGGAGUAACUGCCUUUUGUGUGACGGUAUAGGAGAAGAAAGCCCCGGCUAACUACGUGCCAGCAGCCGCGGUAAUACGUAGGGGGCAAGCGUUGUCCGGAAUUAUUGGGCGUAAAGCGCGCGCAGGCGGUCAAUUAAGUUGGGUGUUUAAGCCCGGGGCUCAACCCCGGUUCGCAUCCAAAACUGGUCGACUUGAGUGUAGGAGAGGAAAGUGGAAUUCCACGUGUAGCGGUGAAAUGCGUAGAGAUGUGGAGGAACACCAGUGGCGAAGGCGACUUUCUGGCCUAUAACUGACGCUGAGGCGCGAAAGCGCGGGGAGCAAACAGGAUUAAAUACCCUGGUAGUCCACGCCGUAAAC
Molecule: ribosomal RNA, 809 nt
Filed under: uncultured bacterium
Lineage: Bacteria
Description: bacterial SSU rRNA
Rfam family: Bacterial small subunit ribosomal RNA
Source: RNAcentral